GAAGCCUACGGGGGGCAGCAGUGGGGAAUAUUGGGCAAUGGGCGCAAGCCUGACCCAGCAACGCCGCGUGAGUGAUGACGGCCUUCGGGUUGUAAAGCUCUGUCUUCAGGGACGAUAAUGACGGUACCUGAGGAGGAAGCCACGGCUAACUACGUGCCAGCAGCCGCGGUAAUACGUAGGUGGCAAGCGUUGUCCGGAUUUACUGGGUGUAAAGGGCGUGCAGCCGGAGAGACAAGUCAGAUGUGAAAUCCACGGGCUCAACCCGUGAACUGCAUUUGAAACUGUUUCCCUUGAGUGUCGGAGAG
Molecule: ribosomal RNA, 305 nt
Filed under: uncultured bacterium
Lineage: Bacteria
Description: bacterial SSU rRNA
Rfam family: Bacterial small subunit ribosomal RNA
Source: RNAcentral